GGACCUUUAGCUCAAUCGGUAGAGCUUUGUACUUAUGAUGCAAGGGUCCCGAGUUCGAUUCUCGGAAGGUCCA
Molecule: transfer RNA, 73 nt
Filed under: Stereum hirsutum FP-91666 SS1
Lineage: Eukaryota; Fungi; Basidiomycota; Agaricomycetes; Russulales; Stereaceae
Description: tRNA-Ile (TAT) (tRNA-Ile-TAT-1-1, tRNA-Ile-TAT-1-2)
Rfam family: tRNA
About the family: Transfer RNA (tRNA) molecules are approximately 80 nucleotides in length. Their secondary structure includes four short double-helical elements and three loops (D, anti-codon, and T loops).
Source: RNAcentral